This is a long non-coding RNA of Myodes glareolus (Bank vole), 1115 nucleotides long. RefSeq lists it as uncharacterized. Lineage: Eukaryota; Metazoa; Chordata; Mammalia; Rodentia; Cricetidae. The record is from RefSeq and is a predicted model, not a curated record.
CCAUGAUUCCCCUUCCUGAGACAGACACUGGCUAGACUCAUACCAGAAUUCAUUAUAUAUAAAGAAGGCAAAGAAUUACUUCGUAUUUGAAAGAAUAUCAAAUUCUACUUCAGACAGAUGAUUAAAAUUGAUACCAUCAGGUAAACAAAUUAUGAAUGCUGGAUGGAACAGAGUAGAUUUGAGAAUAACAGUGUGAUGCUUUCUCCAGACUUUUUUCAGAGAUCAGCUUCAAAAGGACUCCGAAGCUAGCACCUGUGCUUGGCUGUGGAUCUCUGCAUCUGCUCUGGCAGUUACUGGACAAAAGCUCUCCUGUGACAAUCUGAUUUCAGAAGAAGGCCAGUUCAGGCACCCUCCCCAGUAUUGCCAGGAGUCUUAGCUGGUGACAUCCUUCUGGAUUCCUGAGGGCUUCGCUGGCAUCUGGUUUUCUGUAACCCCAAAAUGCCCACCUAGCAAGAUGCUUCUUCCUUAACUCUUCCCCUCCAAUCUACCCCCAACCUGUCUCCAAUACCCAUUCUGCCCAACAGGCUGCCUCAAGUUUCCAUCUCCCAUUCUCCCAACCCCCAGCUCCAGUUUUCAUAGGAGAUCUCUUCUAUUUCUCCUUCCCAGGGAAAUCCAUGCAUUCCUCUUUGAAUCCUCCUUGUUAUCUAUCCUCUCUGGGACUCUGGAGUGUAUAUUUGUUCUCUUUAAAAUUUACGACUCCUUUUUAUUAAUUGUAGUUUGUAUUUUUAACCAUGCUUCUAUAAUGCAGUUUGUAGAAAUAAGAUGAUGAAUGAGACACAUUUUUGUCUGAAAUUUGAAAAGUUUUAAAGUAAAAUUCUUCAACUAUAAGAAUGUAAGGUUUCCAAAAAAUCUUGAACAUUUUCAUGCAGUUGUAUUUGUCUUCCACAACGAUCAUGACAAAUGAAUGCAUCAUGCUCCUCGGGUUCAUGAAACAGCAUGAAAAGAACAAAAAAAAAAGACAAAUGCUUUCAGAAGCCAGGACUACUACAUUUACAUGAAUUGAGAGAAUAAUAAAAUAAGAAUAGAAAAGUUGCCUAUCCUCAGAUUUCUUUUUAAAAUUUUCAUUCCAGAAAAAAAGAUCUAUACUGACUAGAUGUGGACUAGGCAUAUUUGAA